UAAUAACUAACAUCCAGGAAAGGGAAUGGAUUUAGUCUUUUUUUUCAGUGAAGUCACUGAUGGCUCUGAGAGCUGGAGCAUGCGAAGGGCAAAGAGCUGGUGAGUGAAACUGUUGGCAGUUGUAAAGAGAUAGAAUUAGAUGCUCUCGCUGUUCUUGAUGGUGAGGGUGGGAAUCCGAAAAGAAAAUGCAUUCUUCAUGAGCUCUGGAAUUAAGGAAACAGGAAUGGAUGUGUAGCCUUUUCAGAUAAGUUUCGCCUUUUCCCAGCUGUCAGUACUUCACAGAUUGGAGCACAAUUGACUGACUAUGACCAAACAACUUGGAAACUGAAGGUAAUCCCCACAAACAUGGCAGUUUCCCAUGGCUGCAACUUCAAAACUGAAUUUAAUUCAGAGGAUGGAGUUCACUCUUUCAUCAAAAGCCGAACUUAAAUCAAUACGAGUGUGUUGGGGUAACUUCUGUGUACGCUGCUCGCUUCCCGCUGCAACUGGGCUUUCAGUGUAGGAGCCUGCGCUGGUAUCUAGAAGUCCUCACUGGCAGUCCCGUGCUUGCAGGGGACCAAGCUCAGAAUGACUUCCCCUAAGCCAAAGAACAAGUACAAUGUCACUUGUAAAUCCUCUUUUCCUUUCUAUAUACUAACACCUUACUUCUGUCAACAUCUAAAUAAACAAUUUUUUUCUUCUUUUUUUUUUGUGAGGUAUGUUUCUUGCUGUUAGCCUAAACUAGGUAAAAAAUGUCAGAGGAGGGGCACGCAAAGGAAAUGGACACAGAUCAGUUGCUUAAGUAAUGUGCUUUUCAGCUAGGUUUAUAAUAGAAGGGCCUACGCCCUAUGCGAUUUAACUUUUAUUUGUGCUUAAGUUCCUACCUGUAGCUGCAAGGAAAUUUGCAUUCCUUUGUAAUUUAACAUGUAAGGCUUGAACAAGAUUUAUCCUCGUCAGCUUGGUCACCUGUUAGUGAUUCUUAAUGUCUUAAAGAAACUUUAAUGUUGCCAACUCUUUCCCAAGGUUUGUUGGUAUUGUUCCUUAUUUUAGUUCUUCCGUCAUCAAGUUCUAGAAUUUCUGAAAUUUCUGUUGUAACUGGGGGCUGAGUACCAGGUUUCCCACACCUUCUGUGUUUUUUUUGAAGGAAAGGAAUCUCUAAAUAUGAGCACAACGUUUUUUAUUGUCUUUGAGCACAAAGGCAGCUGUGGUUCUGAAGUCCUACUGAAUCUACGUGGGCCUUGGUCUGAGUGCAUUUCUUUUGCCCUGUUAAAUAAUACUUCUGGAAUUGUACAACAGCUUACAUCCUUCAUAAAUUGUUGUGAGCAUUUAAGCUAGUUUUGCUGAUGCUUGAGAAAUACAAGUUUCUUAUGCCUUUGUCAGGUUUUGCCUUAAGAAAGAUUUUUGUCAUGAAGAAAUUUUUCCUUAUAAAGAAAAAUCCAUUAUGUCUCCAGUAGGAGGCUGACUCUUCUAGUGUAAUAAAUGCCUUGCUAAGUUAAGUUUGAACGAAAGUUUUUUUCUCUAGGAAGCUGAAGAGGAAGACGGAAAAGGUGCAGCUGAGGCACAGACACUGGAGAAACAAUAACGUACUGGAGAGUAGAGCAAAGAGAGGGUCUUGAUGAAGCACUGAAGGAUCCCAAGGAAUGAAUUCAAGAAAAGUAUGAACUGGCUGUGAAUGCAUCAGAUGAGAAUAAAAGGAAGUUACGGGACUGGCAUGUUGUGGAGAGGGUGGCUUCUAGAGAGCUGUCAAGAUGGCUGAAGAAAACGCAAGAGUCACUCCAGUAUUUGAAGAAUUUGUUAAUGAAGAUCUUUUGACUGAUACAGCAGAAAACCCAGAUGUGCCCAGAGGUUAAGCUGGUUCUUCAGGAUAAGACUGGACCCAC
Long non-coding RNA from Chroicocephalus ridibundus (black-headed gull), 1859 nucleotides. RefSeq lists it as uncharacterized. Lineage: Eukaryota; Metazoa; Chordata; Aves; Charadriiformes; Laridae. The record is from RefSeq and is a predicted model, not a curated record. The transcript is spliced from 3 exons.